GAGAGAGUUAAGCCCAUACCUAAAAAAUUGCUAGUUUUUUAGGCCCGCAGUUGAAGUCCGCGGCUCACUCG
RNAcentral lists this transfer RNA (71 nucleotides) under Muraenesox cinereus (daggertooth pike conger). RNAcentral's name for it is "tRNA-Ser". Lineage: Eukaryota; Metazoa; Chordata; Actinopteri; Anguilliformes; Muraenesocidae. The record is from RNAcentral.